Molecule: ribosomal RNA, 334 nt
Filed under: Gomesophis brasiliensis
Lineage: Eukaryota; Metazoa; Chordata; Lepidosauria; Squamata; Dipsadidae
Description: partial 12S ribosomal RNA
Source: RNAcentral
AAAGACUUGACGGUACUUCACAACAACCUAGAGGAGCCUGUCUAGUAACCGAUACUCCACGAUUAACCCAACCCACCCUAGCCCAACAGUCUAUAUACCGCCGUCGCCAGCUUACCUUGUGAAAGAAAUAAAGUAAGCAAAACAAGCCACCAUUAACACGACAGGUCGAGGUGUAACUAAUGAGUGGGUAAAAGAUGGGCUACAUUUUCUAAUGCAGAAAACACGAAUAAACUAUGAAACUAGAAACUGAAGGCGGAUUUAGCAGUAAGAUAAGAAUAAAAUGCUUAACUGAAACCAACGCAAUGAAGUGCGCACACACCGCCCGUCAUCCCUG